RNAcentral lists this ribosomal RNA (474 nucleotides) under uncultured bacterium. Its description in RNAcentral is "bacterial SSU rRNA". It matches the Rfam family "Bacterial small subunit ribosomal RNA", at positions 30 to 524 of the family's 1533-position model. The record is from RNAcentral.
AUUGAACGCUGGCGGAAUGCUUUACACAUGCAAGUCGAACGGUAGAGGGGGGCAACCCCUUGAGAGUGGCGAACGGGUGAGUAAUAUAUCGGAACGUGCCCAGUCGUGGGGAUAACGUAGCGAAAGUUACGCUAAUACCGCAUACGAUCUAAGGAUGAAAGCGGGGGAUCGCAAGACCUCGCGCGAUUGGAGCGGCCGAUAUCAGAUUAGGUAGUUGGUGAGGUAAAGGCUCACCAAGCCAACGAUCUGUAGCUGGUCUGAGAGGACGACCAGCCACACUGGAACUGAGACACGGUCCAGACUCCUACGGGAGGCAGCAGUGGGGGAAUAAUUGGACAAUGGGCGAAGCCUGAUCCAGCAAUGCCGCGUGAGUGAUGAAGGCCUUAGGGUUGUAAAGCUCUUUACCCGGGACUGAUAAUGACAGUACCGGGAGAAUAAGACUCCGGCUAACUCCGUGCCAGCAGCCGCGGUAAU